GACGAACGCUGGCGGCGUGCUUAACACAUGCAAGUCGAACGGAAAGGCUCCAGCUUGCUGGAGUACUCGAGUGGCGAACGGGUGAGUAACACGUGGGUAAUCUGCCCUGCACUCUGGGAUAAGCCUGGGAAACUGGGGCUAAUACUGGAUAUGACCUUUCUCCGUAUGGGGUGUGGUGGAAAGUUUUUCGGUGUAGGAUGAGCCCGCGGCCUAUCAGCUUGUUGGUGGGGUGAUGGCCUACCAAGGCGACGACGGGUAGCCGGCCUGAGAGGGUGAUCGGCCACAUUGGGACUGAGAUACGGCCCAGACUCCUACGGGAGGCAGCAGUGGGGAAUAUUGCACAAUGGGCGGAAGCCUGAUGCAGCGACGCCGCGUGAGGGAUGACGGCCUUCGGGUUGUAAACCGCUUUCAGCAGGGACGAAGCGUAAGUGACGGUACCUGCAGAAGAAGCACCGGCUAACUACGUG
RNAcentral lists this ribosomal RNA (467 nucleotides) under uncultured bacterium. RNAcentral describes it as "partial 16S ribosomal RNA". It matches the Rfam family "Bacterial small subunit ribosomal RNA", at positions 28 to 507 of the family's 1533-position model. The record is from RNAcentral.